AGGAAAAGAAACCAACAGGGAUUGCCUCAGUAACGGCGAGUGAAGCGGCAACAGCCCAGAUUUGAAAUCCGGCUCUCUAGGGAGCCCGAGUUGUAGUCUGCAGAUGGGUCUUUCUGGCGGAGCGCCGUCCAAGUUCCCUGGAAUGGGACGCCGUAGAGGGUGAGAGCCCCGUACGGAUGGUCGCCGAGUCUCUUGUAAAGCCCAUUCGACGAGUCGAGUAGUUUGGAAAUGCUGCUCAAAUCGCGGGGUAAACCUCCCGUAAGGCUAAAUACCGGCCAGAGACCGAUAGCGCACAAGUAGCGUGAGCGAAAGAUGAAAAGAGCCUUGAACAAGGGCGUCAAAAAGUAUGUGAAAUUGUUGUGGGGGAAGCGCCCGAGACCAGACUCGGUGGCGGUUGGUUACCCGGCGAGACCCCUCGCCGGCGCACUCUGCCGUCCCCGGGCCAGCAUCGGUUGGACCUGGGGCCCAAUGCCGCGAGGAACGUGGCUCCCCUCGGGGAGUGUUAUAGCCACGCGGCGACGCCCCAGGACCGACCGAGGACCGCGCUCUCGAGCCUGGAUGCUCGUAAUGGUCUCUAGCGACCCGUCUUGAAACACGGACCAAGGAGUUGACCUGGCAUGCGAGUGUAUGGGUUCCAAGCCCUAGCGCGCAAUGAAAGUGAUCUGGGUGGGAUCCCCUCUCGGGGCGCACCAUCGACCGAUCCUGAAGUUUACGGAUGGAUUUGAGUAAGAGCAUGCCGGGUCUGACCCGAAAGAAGGUGAACUAUGCAUGAAUAGGGUGAAGCCAGAGGAAACUCUGGUGGAGGCUCGCAGCGGUUCUGACGUGCAAAUCGAUCGUCAAAUUUGUGCAUGGGGGCGAAAGACCAAUCGAACCUUCUAGUAGCUGGUUCCUGCCGAAGUUUCCCUCAGGAUAGCAGGGUUGGGGCCUCAGUUUCAUGAGGUAAAGCGAAUGAUUAGAGACUCGGGGGCGCUAUAUUGCCUUCAUCUAUUCUCAAACUUUAAAUAUGUGAGAAGCCUUGUGUUACUUCGGUGAACGCAGGCGACCGAAUGAACCAACUCUAGUGGGCCAUUUUUGGUAAGCAGAACUGGCGAUGUGGGAUGAACCAUACGGGGGCUUAAGGUGCCGGAGUGGGCGCUCAUGAGACACCA
Molecule: ribosomal RNA, 1148 nt
Filed under: Conioscypha varia
Lineage: Eukaryota; Fungi; Ascomycota; Sordariomycetes; Conioscyphales; Conioscyphaceae
Description: LSU rRNA
Rfam family: Eukaryotic large subunit ribosomal RNA
Source: RNAcentral